This 224-nucleotide unclassified non-coding RNA is filed under the name uncultured Rozellomycota. Its description in RNAcentral is "uncultured Cryptomycota sequence contains ITS2". The record is from RNAcentral. Lineage: Eukaryota; Fungi; Rozellomycota.
AACGCAACUUGCGCCUUUUACGAGGCAUGUUUGUUUGAGUGCCGCAAUCCUCUGCAGCAAUGCGAUUUGACUCGAGUCUUUGUUGACCGAGUUUAAACAAAGCUAGAGGAUGGUCAGUUUGGACUAGUCCGAGUGCUAAGCAUUCUUGGGUCUAGGACGGAUUGAUCAUUAAAUCUACUUUUUUAUUUGGCCUCAAAUCAAGCAAGACUACCCGCUGAACUUAA